This is a long non-coding RNA of Herpailurus yagouaroundi (jaguarundi), 362 nucleotides long. RefSeq lists it as uncharacterized. The record is from RefSeq and is a predicted model, not a curated record. The transcript has 2 exons. Lineage: Eukaryota; Metazoa; Chordata; Mammalia; Carnivora; Felidae.
GCACCAUCCAGGCAGGGCACGGGAUGGCCAGAUCAUGGGCCUCCCGUCCCUACCCAUGUGGAGUGGGAGUUAGGGGUCUGGUACGAGAACGGUGAUUUAAAAUAUUAAUGAGCCCCUGGAGAUGAGUACCCUGGCUACCCCCGCUUUGGAGGCGGGCAGACAGAGGCAGAGAGAGAAGCCACCUGCCGAAGGCACGCAAGGUUUUCAAUUGGAGGAAGAACGGAUCAGCAGACUGUGGUAUAUCAACACAAUGGAAUAUAAAGGAGCCUGCCUUAUAGAAGGAAAUCCUGGCACCUGUUACAACGUGGAUGAACUUUGAGGACAUUGUGUUCAAUGAAAUAAACCAGACACAAAACAACAAA